UCUCUUCCUUUCUUUCUUUGACUUUCUUUCUUUCUUUCCUUCUUUCCUUUCUUCCAAUCUUUCUUUCUUUCUUUCUUUCUUUCUUUCUUUCUUUCUUUCUUUUCCCUUAUCUCUUUCCUCUUUCUUACUUUUUCUCUUCUCCUUUCCUUUCUACGCAUCUCCUUCAGUUUGUUUCUUUCAAACCCCAUUCUUUCCUUCAUAUCAUCUCCACUUAUCGCUUUCUCAUCCUCGCCCCACCCUCCUAUCUAAUCAGAUGACCAACUAAAACAAUGCGCUAUUGUUCUCGCCUAUAUUAUUAUGUAAAAUGGCCGCCAGCGCUCGAAAACCCACAAAGCAAAAUGGCCGAUUGAAACAGAUGGUAAUGGCGGCUUUUCGUAUAACAUGGACAUCGGGAAAGAAACGUAAAAGGAAAAAAAAAAGCCAAGAAGAUGGUGUCUCGUAGUAAAGAAGACAGCAAGAUACCAUUCACGGACAUUCUAUGAGCACAUUAUUCUGAAUCUCGAAUUCAUUGGUCGUCAUGUAGCAACGUAACUGCACCAGAAACAAGAGAAAUGAAUUGUCUCAAGAAAAAUCAAGCAUCAAAAAAGAAAAAAGAAACAAGAAAAGAAGAUCGAAAGAAAGAGGCAAAAAAAAUAGAAAGAAAAAAGGGGAAAAGAAAGAAAGAACAGAGAUACACAAACACGAAAUCUCAUUCAACUUAUUGCUUCUGUGAUAAGAAUUCAUAAUUUCAAGAAUAUUCACUCUGGAUUAUUAUGAAGACGAAAAUACUUACCAAUGCUGGCCAUCACAAAGAUAUCAUUUUUGCUAUAAAUAUUCAGCAAAAUGAUUUUAUGUCAGUGCAAUGGAGGCUAGACUUUAAAAUUCUGAAAAUGGUUGCAGCUUUGUGAUCGGUUGUUUGUUUGUCUGUUUCCGGGACUUGCAACAAAAUACGCAAAAUUCUAUCCCCACAAAUACAAAAUACACACACACCCACUCCCA
Long non-coding RNA from Octopus bimaculoides (California two-spot octopus), 978 nucleotides. NCBI's taxonomy places the organism in Eukaryota, Metazoa, Mollusca, Cephalopoda, Octopoda, Octopodidae. The record is from RefSeq and is a predicted model, not a curated record.